RNAcentral lists this long non-coding RNA (485 nucleotides) under Ricinus communis (castor bean). RNAcentral describes it as "long non-coding RNA (RCOM_LNC003289)". The record is from RNAcentral. Lineage: Eukaryota; Viridiplantae; Streptophyta; Magnoliopsida; Malpighiales; Euphorbiaceae.
UAAAUUUUAAGUUGUCAUAUAUUGGUGCAUAAUUUCUUAUUCAAUAUGUAUUUUAUAGACAACUCUCUGAUAAAAUAUCAGCAGUACAAAUAAGAAAAGAAAGAAAAGCAUAAUAAAAAAAUGAGAAAUGAAAAGAGUAUAUUUGUUAGUUGUUACAAAACAAGAAUAAUUCACUACAAUUUGUGGAGGGACAAUCCAAAAUCCUUUUAAGCCCUGGGAAUGGUCAAAAGAAUAUCUAAAUGGUGGAGUAAAAAUAAGAGAAAACAGACCUGACGGAUUGAAUCGGCGACGGAGGAAAUAUGAGGUGAGGAGAGGUCGAUAACUUGAAGUUUAGCUGCUUCUGCCAUUUGCACUUCUCUAUCUCUAUUGUAUAGACACACGCCAUAUCCCGCUAGAGAAUUUAUAGCCUUUACUAAUUUGUAAUUAAAUGAAUAGGGCAAAAAAGUAUUAGUCAACCAGCAAUUAAGAAAAAAAAAGAGAAAAAG